This 264-nucleotide long non-coding RNA is filed under the name Helianthus annuus (common sunflower). RNAcentral's name for it is "sRNA HanXRQr2_Chr08g0339071". The record is from RNAcentral. Lineage: Eukaryota; Viridiplantae; Streptophyta; Magnoliopsida; Asterales; Asteraceae.
GGCGGUGGUCAGUUAAUCAGUUAUGGUUUUUAGAAUGGUGUUUUGCAGUGGUAAAGCUUGAGAUUUUCGACUGGGGCGAAAUCACUGGACUUAAAAAUUUUUAUAAAACCGGGGGUCGAAAACGGAUAUACCCAAAAAUUUUAUACGAAAACUACAUACUCUUCACUACUGAGCGAAAAGUUCGAAGGAUCGACUGCCCCCUCCCACCGCGUAAAAGCUUCGCCCAUGCUGAUUUGGCUAGCAUAUUAAACCUACCAAAGUGUU